RNAcentral lists this ribosomal RNA (122 nucleotides) under uncultured bacterium. RNAcentral describes it as "partial 16S ribosomal RNA". It matches the Rfam family "Bacterial small subunit ribosomal RNA", at positions 1384 to 1501 of the family's 1533-position model. The record is from RNAcentral.
UACACACCGCCCGUCACACCACGAAAGCUGCGUGUACCAGAAGUCGCUAAGCUAACCCUUUCGAGGGAGGUAGGCGCCUAAGGUAUGCGCGGUAAUUGGGGUGAAGUCGUAACAAGGUACCC